This 574-nucleotide ribosomal RNA is filed under the name Cortinarius alnetorum. Its description in RNAcentral is "eukaryotic LSU rRNA". The stretch from base 182 to 335 matches the Rfam family "5.8S ribosomal RNA". The record is from RNAcentral. Lineage: Eukaryota; Fungi; Basidiomycota; Agaricomycetes; Agaricales; Cortinariaceae.
UGCGGAAGGAUCAUUAUUGAAAUAAAUCUGAUGGGUUGUUGCUGGUUCUCUAGGGAGCAUGUGCACGCCUUGUCAUCUUUAUAUCUCCACCUGUGCACCUUUUGUAGACCUUUCAGGUCUAUGUUGCUUCAUUUACCCCAAUGUAUGUUAAUAGAAUGUUGUGCCUAUAUACAAUAUAUACAACUUUCAGCAACGGAUCUCUUGGCUCUCGCAUCGAUGAAGAACGCAGCGAAAUGCGAUAAGUAAUGUGAAUUGCAGAAUUCAGUGAAUCAUCGAAUCUUUGAACGCACCUUGCGCUCCUUGGUAUUCCGAGGAGCAUGCCUGUUUGAGUGUCAUUAAUAUAUAUAUAUCAACCUUCUCUUGUGGAAUGGUUUGGAUGUGGGGGUUUGCUGGGUUUCAUAUAUAUAUAUGGGUUCAGCUCUCCUGAAAUGCAUUAGCAGAACGACCUGUUCAUUUGGUGUGAUAACUAUCUACGCUAUUGAAUGUGAGGGGCAGUUCAGCUUUCCAACAGUCCUCUUGGACAACUCAUCAUUAAUGUGACCUCAAAUCAGGUAGGACUACCCGCUGAACUUAA